GUCUUUUUGAAAAUAAUUUAAAGUCUGACCUGCUCAAUGAAAAUUUAAAUAGCUGCGGUAUUUUGACCGUACUAAGGUAGCAUAAUCAAUAGUUUUUUAAUUGAAAACUGGAAUGAAAGGUUUGAUAAAAAAUAUACUGUCUCAAUUUAAAUUUAUUAAAAAUUUAUUUUUUAGUUAAAAAGCUAAAAUAAAUUUAAAAGACGAGAAGACCCUAUAGAGUUUUACUAUUAAUUAUUUAAAUAAUAAAAGAUUUGAUAUUAUUUAAAUAAAUUAAUAGUUUAAUUGGGGUGAUUGAAAAAUUUAUUAAACUUUUUUUAUUAUACUUCAAAAAUUAUUGUUUCUUUGAUCCAUAAAAAUGAUUAUAAGAUUAAAUUACCUUAGGGAUAACAGCGUAAUUUUUUUUAAGAGUUCUAAUCGAAAAAAAAGAUUGCGACCUCGAUGUUGGAUUAAAAUUAAUGUAUGGUGAAGAAACUAUAUUAUUAGGUCUGUUCGACCUUUAAAAUUUUACA
This 509-nucleotide ribosomal RNA is filed under the name nr. Gloeosoma sp. CO971. Its description in RNAcentral is "partial 16S ribosomal RNA". The stretch from base 383 to 509 matches the Rfam family "Bacterial large subunit ribosomal RNA", at positions 2473 to 2600 of the family's 2925-position model. Lineage: Eukaryota; Metazoa; Arthropoda; Insecta; Coleoptera; Corylophidae. The record is from RNAcentral.